GCGGCGGAAUUUAGUAUCCUCCGGGCUGCAGCUGUGCCCCGCCUGUGACACGGGCUGUGAGGCGCAGUGCACGCGCCUAGGAAGUGCUCAGAACCGCGGGCGCGGACGCUGUGCCCUGGCACCUUUCCAAACCGCCCCGAAGCCCCUGUGGCAGGUGGCAGAAGAGGCAGGGGCUUGGCCGGAGGCCCGCGGUACUUCCUUGGGACCGAUGCACCCAGAGCUGGGAGGACCAACUGAAGGGAGAGAGGCAAAGCGGAGCAGGCAGUGUGUGGGGGCACCGAGGACAGCAGAAAACCAACAGCCAGACUCAGUCCCCUCUCUCACAGAUGAACCACGGACCCAGAGGAGCCCCAGAGGAGCCCACAGCAGUAGCAGCUUGGCGGGGAGGCCGGCCAGAGAGCUUCGAUAGGACCCCUUCUGGCUCUGGGUCCCCUUUGUCCCGAGCGCCUGGGACCAGCCCAAAUUCAGCCACACCUGAGGGCCGAGGGGCUCUGAGUCCAGCUCCUCCACCCCCAUCACCCG
Molecule: long non-coding RNA, 522 nt
Filed under: Fukomys damarensis (Damara mole-rat)
Lineage: Eukaryota; Metazoa; Chordata; Mammalia; Rodentia; Bathyergidae
Description: lncRNA (ENSFDAG00000031158.1)
Source: RNAcentral